This is a non-coding RNA of Lonchura striata (white-rumped munia), 425 nucleotides long. NCBI's taxonomy places the organism in Eukaryota, Metazoa, Chordata, Aves, Passeriformes, Estrildidae. The record is from RefSeq and is a predicted model, not a curated record.
AGCCUCUUGAAGUAAGUGGAGAAUUUUCCUGGGAACCCAGCGGCCUUUGGAUGCAGUUUUCAGGGUGUGUGAACCCACCACCACCAAAUGAGAGAUGCAAUGGGAUUUUGGGAGCUCCUCUGCCACCUGCAGUGCAAUACAAAUGACCUGGCUCUCCAGGGGUUUUUUCUUGGGCUUUGUUACUUCUGCACAACCUGACUGCAUCCCUUUUUGAACCCCCUUGAGCUCAUGGCCGGUGUCAUCUUGGUGCUGCAGAAAAUGGACUGGAAAUGGAUGGUGUUCAGGUAAAGCCAGGAUUAUCUAGAGCUUCUCACCUCUUUUUGACCUCAGUGCUCUUCAGUGUGAACCCUGUGUCACUCACAUGAACAAGAUCCAUCCACGGAAAAGCCUUGGGUGCAAUUUGAAAAUGAAAAUUGAAAGCCUGA